Acinonyx jubatus (cheetah) is the source of this 6788-nucleotide long non-coding RNA. RefSeq lists it as uncharacterized. Lineage: Eukaryota; Metazoa; Chordata; Mammalia; Carnivora; Felidae. The record is from RefSeq and is a predicted model, not a curated record. The transcript has 3 exons.
CAACCCCCUCCCCCCCAAAAAAAACAACUCACCAGCUGCCUUCCUGGGAUGUCCCUUCUGUGAAUGCCCCAGUCCUUGAUUUCCCUUUAAGAACCUCAGACAGGAAAAUGUUGAUCUGUGCCAAUGGUUCCCCUUCUUCGAUGGAGUUUGAAGGGUGGCAGGAGCCUAAGGUAGGGUCCCAGAUAUUUGUCAAUGGGAAAUGGGCAAAGCCAAAGCAGUUUUAUAUUUUGAUUAAAAAACGUGCAUCUGGACAGCUAAAUUACCAGUUCUGAUCUAAUGCAAGUGUAAUAGGAACACCAGCUGUCCCUUAAUUGGAGCCCCACAAUAAUAAACGCGUGCUUUUAUUUAAUUUUAUGAGGACAAUUGUAGUUGAUAACACACGCAUAUGCGAGAUCCUCAGUGACAAGCUCAUAGCAAUUCAUGGGCUGCUCUCCUGCCAUGAACUGCUUCACCCCAGUACCGAGUUCUACAUGCUCUCCACAAAGGGUAAAAACGUCGCAGGAGACAUUUAAGUAACAGGUUGAGGAGCCUAGUGAAAUCUCAGGCUAAUUCUCCUUUUUAAUUCUGUGGGAGUGAUCCAAGUAGAAUUCUCCAGCUGAUUUUAGGCAAGAAAUCAAUGUCUGUUUGUUAAAUGCCAGAUAAUAGUGGCAGGAUCAUAAUGGUUGGAAGGAGAACACUGGCACAAAACUACCCUUUAAAUAAUUGAGAUACCCCCUCCCCCCACCAAGGCAAUUGGCAAGCAUUGUGAAAGUUAUCAGGACAAUGUACAGGGACAGCAUCUGAUACUUUUGCAGUAAUGGGUAGAAUCCUAGCAUAAGUCAAACAGAAGGCAGGAGUUGCUAGUUUCUUGAAAAAAAGGGAAACAAGAAAAAAAUGAAUUCCUAACUGCCUCUCUUCACCUCCUUUUGAGCUUGCCAAAUUACCUGCACUGCUCUGAAAAUCAAACUUGGCUGACAUAUAGGAAGUGGCUUUGGCAGUCCAGGAACUACCACAACUAAAAUUAAGAGGUGUUGGCUACCACAGAAGUCUGGAAAGAAGGGCAAGGCUGAAUUAUAUAACUUUAUACCCAAUGAUCUAACAAAUGAGGAACUUUUAUCACGGUGAGUCAACAAAGGAGUCUUUAUGCUAAACAUGGGUCAACACCACUGCUUUUACCUCUGUCCACCAUUGCAAACCACAUCUCCUAUGAGGCACUCCAGGUUUCCCUAAUCCCACACAAACUGGCUCCUUUUUAUUGUCAUUGCAUUGGUGAAAUAAUUGUUUUCUUAUGAAUGUAAGGUCAUAAAUUGGUCAAUUUGCAUAGCUUCAACAUAUUCUUUGGCUUGAGAUUUGUGAUCAGAGAAAAUCGCAAAUGUCCACAUGGGAGAGGAAAAUAGCCUUAUAAACAAAUUUUAGCCUAAUAACCUGUCCCCCUUUUAUCCAAGAUGGUACAGCCUCCACAAAUGAAGCCAGGCAAACUUCCCUGCCACCAGGUCACUGGGGAGUGUUUUCAAAGAGUGGAAAUUGCUGUCCCGUCCCCUCAGCAUUUUAAAAGGGCUUGUUUGCUCUUUAGGGUAGACUUACCUUGGAAUUACUUUCCACUUUAGUACUUAGAGCUAACCAACAUUUUCUUUUCUUUUCUUCCCCUGAGGCAUGAUUGGGGGCACGACCGAGGAAAAAUGGAGUUGCACACUGACUGAUCCACAAGAUGACUUCUUAAUGUAUAUACAUUAUUGUCUCUGACUUCUUACACUUGUUCCCCCUCGCAUUCUGGGCGAGUCUCAGAACCACUACUCCUGAGGGAUCUUCAAAGUGUCAGUUUUAUCUUCUGGUUUUCCAUGAUGUCUUCGAGCAGGGUCAGAUGGUUCCCUACUGGCUAUAAACGGCUGUAGCAGCCCCACGCCUCACAUCUUCAUACUCAUGGAAGAGCAAACGUCCUGGGUUUACCAGAAUUGGAUGAGCUGAAGCCGGGGUUAUAUUCCCAUUUCUGAAACAAUCAGAAGAACUUCAAGAGGGGGAGCAAAUUAAUGCGGCUGGGCCUGGAGUAGGUAAUGAGUUCAACGUAUUCAGUCCAAGCGUGUGGCUGAAAAUCAUAUUUGCACUGCUCCCUGAAUCGUGAAUCAGAAGCUGUUGCCAGCAGAAUGGAAGUUAGAAAAGCAACUAAAAUCGUUCUCUGUGGUCCCUGGAUCAUGGAGCACACAUUCUUGGGACGGUGGGGGAAUCGGAGACGAAAUAAGUAAACAAAUAAGCAAGAUAGACAUGGUGAUAAAUGCUUUGAUGGUCCCAGAAUAGGGUGUGGUCUCCAAGAAAACAGAGAUUUAUAUUUGUUUUGCUCUUUGCAAUAUCCCGCCUGCCUAAGCCAGUGCCUAGCACACAUCGGCCCAAAGUAAACGUUUGUUGAGUUGAAUUGCAUGAAAUAAUAAGGAGGGUAAAAUGAUAAUCGUUGCUCUGUAUCAUGCCUCUCUGCUCCCAACCAACCGCUUUCCUUGGGUCCCUUGUCAGCGACAUGCCUUGGCUUCUGCUCUGCUUCCCACCUGGGACCUACUCCUUUCCCCCCCUGUGUGUCCAGGUCCUACACAUCGUUCCCAACUUUAUCAAAAUUCCAUCUUCUUCAGGUGCCUUCCAUGACAUACCUGCUGCUCUUUAACUUCCUCCUGACCAUCCUCUGCUCCACCAUGGCAUUUAUCAGCAAUGUGCCUUUUAGCCCUAGGUUUUAUUAGACUUGGUAAUUUGCCAAAUGUUCUUUUAUAACAUUAACUAACACAGUUUUAUCUUUACGUGCCUUAAAAUCCCGAACAGAGCAUGAUCUAUCUGUAGAUAGGCAUUGGUUGUUUUUUCCCUAGCUUAGCCAUUUACUAGGUAUAUAUGAACCUGGGUAAAUGAUUUGCUGCUCUGAGAGUCAAUUUCCUGAUCUGUAACAUGGGGGUUGUACCUCCCUCGUGAGGCUGCUCUGAGUACUGAGGUUAUGUAUGCCACCCCCACAUGGUAGGUACUUGAUAAACAGGGGUGAUGAUGAAGAAGAAGGAGGAUGGAGGGGAGGAGGAGGGGGAGGAGGAGGCAGGGGAGGAGGAGGAGAAGGAGAAGGAGAAGGAGAAAGCAGCUUUGAUUUCGCCAUCAGCAGGAAGGCACUCGCUGAAGCAUGGCAAGCUAAGUGACCACACCGCUGAACUGAAGGAACGGAGAGGAAGGGAGAGGCAGGAGCCUAGCAGCCAGUGCCCGACACAGCCAUCCCUUACAGCCCUGGCGCUCACGCUGAACUAACAAGCACCUAAUUGACUCAAAUGAUGGUACGUGUGAGCCUCGGCGGGUGCUGGAUGAGCUGCCGCCGGGGGCGGAGGCGCUGCUAUUAUGCUAAUUCUUGUGCAUCCCACGGGUCAGAAAAGAACAGAUACUUCAUCCGCCACGGGAGGAAUGGCAGCAAUUAAGGCAGUCACGAUGCCAUGAAGUGGUGUUAACGAAACAAAUGAGGACUCUGUCUCUGGGUAAAAUCACUCCGGUCUUUUGGGGGGAAAAUCCCUGCCUAAAUAAAUUGUUUACUUUUUCGCGGCCAUGACUGCUCAAUUAGAUCAUUCAUGAGCAUGGUGUCCCCAAAUGUAAAGAGUGAAAUGGACAGGCUUUCCUCUAAUCCCUGCUUCUCUACCAGCUGGCUCGUUGGGCUUAGAGUACACCUGCUGCCUUCUCAGCUACAAACUUUCCAACCCCUCAGCCAAGUCCACCCCAUCCAGCUCUGCUUUCCACCGCAGAUGAGAUUUGGGGCUAGGGAAGGUCACUACUGAGCAAUCAGGUCAAGUGAGUUAGUGCCUGAGGUCCUGACCUGCACGUACGGCUGGCUGCAAAAACUUUCUCGAACGUGUUCCAGGUAUGUUCAUUCUAGUGGUUGAAAUGAGAUUGACCUGAUUUAAAAUUUCCCCGUUUGUGAGUUUUGUGACUUUCAGCAAACACUUAACUUCUUUAGUGGAAAAAAAUAAGAUCUGCUUUAUAAAGUAGUUAUGAGAAUCAAAUAUGAUGAAGCAUGCCUGGUGUUCGGCAUGGUGCUUGGCACAAAUUAAGUAUCAAUGAACGUUAGCUUUUAUUAUAAUUAUUGGCAGGGGCAGUGGUGAUAUCGAAAGCAAUGGCUUUGACCAAAGAGCUGGAGGGACUGAUUUUCUCGUCUGGGUAGGUCUGUAGCUGCUCAAUCAGGCUGGCCUUUGAGGAGAAUCGGCUAGCUUCAGAGACCACAACGGAGCUGGUACACCUGCAAUUUAAAAGAGAAAGUAUUUUCUGUAAAGUCUUAGUUGUCAGUAUCUGAGAGGUAGAUUUAGUUCCUGGCAGCCCCAGGAGCUUAGCUGGACCAAUAGUUGUGACCAGGUACAGGUGGAUCAGCACCCAGAGUAUUUCAGGAUCGGCACGGGUCAGUAUCCUGGUCCUAUGGCUCAGUGGUAACUUGCAGGAAGAUUACUCACACGUACAGUAAGCCUCUGACCCCAGGCCUCAUCUGCUCCCCUGUUAAUCAGUCUGUCAGUCAGGUCCUGCAAGAAACAGAUACCGAGACGGGAAAUCCAAUGUGCAAAGAUUUCAUUAGAGGAAACACCUGUGAGAGAAAAUGGGGGUGCAGAGCCGGAGAGGCUGGGAACAGCCUUGGAUCACGAUGUAAGUCUGACCCUGUGAAGCGAAGGAGAGAGGUCAGACCGGACAAAGGAUCUCAGAGCACCGUAGCCGGGGCCCUGGGCCGAUUAUGUUCUCUGUGGUUGGAAGUCUGCAAUGCAUAUUAUCACGGCUGCCACAGUCGAUGACAGGAAAAAUAUCUCAAAGACGAAAUGAUCAAAUUUGCAGAUGACACAGACGGAAUGCUCGGAAUCCUGUCCUCCACGGUUUUGAAUAUUUCCUUUUUCAGAGUGAGCCUGUUCACGAGCUCCCCACAUGAACGUGCUAGGUUCUUGGGGCGCCUCUCUCUGUUCUUUCCAUCAUGACCCUUUGUGGUUAUAGGCUCAGAAUUAUGUUAUGACAGGUAUAAGAGUUUAUACUGUGGAGGAAUACUUGCUGACGUGAAAAGAGAGUCAAGGUAUAUUUUUAAUUUAAGAAAGACAGGUCACAAAACCUGUAUUUAUAGCAUGAUUUCCAUUUUGUUCCAAGAAUAUCUAUGCAUAGGAAAAAAUGUAGAAAGACAGAAGCAUAGCACUAUUAAUGGGGGUUAUAUAUUUGGUUUUUACACUUUUUUUUGUGCGUCUCUGUGAUUUUGAAUUUUCCACAGCGAAUGUGUUUUACUUCGAAGACAUUCCCAAUGCUUUGCAACUAUCUUCCAAAGGCUGGGGUUCACCUCUGACUGGUUUGGCCUCUUUGUAAAGGAUGCAAUGACAAAGCAGGUUAUCUCAAGACUUGUCACUAUUUUCAACCACCUUCUUGGCUUUUGGACUCUUUCCCUGCUGUGACCGUUGAGAACUUCUGACCCCCUGCAUAGGUCACAACCCUCCUAGUGUCCAAACCUCCUACCUGACUUAACUUGAAGCUGCCAUGGGAUCAUUUCCUGUUGGAACUAUUAGCAGUCAUAAUAUUGUUAAUUAGAUUGCCCCACUUCCUCUGAGUGCUUACUGUGUGCCGGGAACUAUAAUAAUUAUUUUAAAUGUAGUGACUGAAUUCAUUUUCUCGAUAAGUCUAUGAGGGUGGUCCUAUUAUUAUACAUAUUUUACAGAUGAGGCAACGAGGCAAUGAGGCAACAGAGGUGGGUUAGGUGGGCCAACUCACACAGUGAGGAUAUUUGCCUACCUUUGCCUGGAGGAUGGAUCGCUGAUGCUUCUUGGUCCUGCCUCCAAAUGGCCUAUUCCUACCAACUGCCACUGCCCCACACACAGGUGUGAGAGAUGUAUAUGCACCUUUUUUCCACGCAGGGCACCACAUAAAGCAUCCAGCUAUGACUUGGGACAAGUUAUUAAAUCCUCUGAGCCUCAGUUUCCCCAUCUGUAAAGAGGACUGACAUACUUUUAUAGAGUUCUUAAGAAGAUUGAAUCAAAUAAGGUAUGGGAGAUGCCGAAUGCCAGUUCCAAGUAGAGGGAGAACGCUCACGGAGAGGAAGAUGCCCACAGUAAGCCCAUGAAGAGAACUGAAUGUCAGCCUGAUGUCAGAAGAACAGAGUUAAGCUUCUCUCUCAACCAUUUCUGAAUGCAGUUCACCUUGUAUGUUAGCAAAGGUGGUGGCAGUCUACAUGGAGUGACCAGCCAUUACCAAGAAGACCUCCUUGUCCAAAAUAUCUGCCUCACCAGGGCCAGGCACUCCACCAUCAGUAAUCCAUGUCUGCAUCUUAGGCUUUUCCCCUUUCCAUAAGCCUUGUAAGCACAUAAAUACUCAUGGGAUCCUUGUAAGACAGAAAUGGCCGCAGGAUUUAGGAUUGGAUUACAUGGAAUUGUAGAGGAGAAAAACGUGUACUGGGAAGGUGAGUGUUCCGGUCUCAGUUCCUGCUGUCCUAACUCCCAUGGAGAACUUUCGUGAAUCACAACCUCUCUGUGUUUCUGUCUAUACAAAGAAAUUUUGUAAUAUAUACUUCUCCAUCUAAGAUUCGGGCUUUAACCAUCUAAGAUUCUACAGAAUCAAAUAGUGAUAAUUCAGGCACACCUUCAGGCAACUAUGGAAGUAUUUCUUGCUUGAUACCCAUUUCUCUUGCCCUGAGAUUGCUGAUUGGUAAAACCAGCUCGGAAAUCCACUGUGACAACAUUUACCAAAAACUUUAAGGAGGUUCACAUUCUUUGAUCCAGUAAUUUCAUUUCUGUGAAAUCAUUCGAAGUACAGCAGAGCUUCAUGAACAGGGACUUUAAAUACAGUUAUGUUUAUAAUAAUGA